RNAcentral lists this non-coding RNA (238 nucleotides) under Enterococcus hirae. RNAcentral's name for it is "T-box sequence". It matches the Rfam family "T-box leader". Rfam says of the family: Uncharged tRNA acts as the effector for transcription antitermination of genes in the T-box leader family. T-boxes are found upstream of many aminoacyl-tRNA synthetase genes and some amino acid biosynthetic genes usually in Gram-positive bacteria. The anticodon of a specific tRNA base pairs to a specifier sequence within the T-box motif, and the NCCA acceptor tail of the tRNA base pairs to a conserved bulge in the T-box antiterminator hairpin. Lineage: Bacteria; Bacillati; Bacillota; Bacilli; Lactobacillales; Enterococcaceae. The record is from RNAcentral.
CAAAAAUCAUUGAUAGAGAGAGUAACGAAUAAUAAGCAUUUUAGAGAGCGAUUGGUUGGUGGAAAAUCGUAGGUCUAUUAUUUGUGAAAGUAACUCUGGAGAUGCACAAGUGACGUUAGAAGUUUGUGCCGGCGAUCCCCGUUAUCGGAUAAUGCGCUUCACUAUUAGUGAGUCGCUAAGAGAUUGUUUAUUCAUAAACAAAAAAAACGGUGGUACCGCAAUGUCAAUUGCCCGUUGG